RNAcentral lists this ribosomal RNA (219 nucleotides) under uncultured bacterium. RNAcentral's name for it is "partial 16S ribosomal RNA". It matches the Rfam family "Bacterial small subunit ribosomal RNA", at positions 112 to 334 of the family's 1533-position model. The record is from RNAcentral.
AAUACAUAGGAAUCUACCCUGUCGUGGGGGAUAACGUAGGGAAACUUACGCUAAUACCGCAUACGACCGAGAGGUGAAAGCGGCGGACCGCAAGGCGUCGCGCGACUGGAUGAGCCUAUGUCCGAUUAGCUAGUUGGCGGGGUAAUGGCCCACCAAGGCGACGAUCGGUAGCUGGUCUGAGAGGAUGAUCAGCCACACUGGAACUGAGACACGGCCCAG